Molecule: long non-coding RNA, 841 nt
Organism: Oncorhynchus tshawytscha (Chinook salmon)
Lineage: Eukaryota; Metazoa; Chordata; Actinopteri; Salmoniformes; Salmonidae
Source: Ensembl
GUUACUGUCUAAAUGUAAUCCAACCAGGGUAGGUUACUGUCUAAAUGUAAUCCAACCAGGGUAGGUUACUGUCUAAAUGUAAUCCAACCAGGGUAGGUUACUGUCUAAAUGUAAUCCAACCAGGGUUGGUUACUGUCUAAAUGUAAUCCAUCCAGGGUAGGUUACUGUCUAAAUGUAAUCCAACCAGGGUUGGUUACUGUCUAAAUGUAAUCCAUCCAGGUUGGUUAGGUUACUGUCUAAAUGUAAUCCAGCCAGGUUGGUUAGGUUACUGUCUAAAUGUAAUCCAGCCAGGGUUGGUUAGGUUACUCUCUAAAUGUAAUCCAACCAGGGUAGGUUAGGUUACUGUCUAAAUGUAAUCCAACCAGGGUUGGUUACUGUCUAAAUGUAAUCCAACCAGGGUAGGGUUGGUUACUGUCUAAAUGUAAUCCAACCAGGGUAGGUUACUGUCUAAAUGUCAAAUCAAAUUUUAUUUGUCACAUACACAUGGUUAGCAGAUGUUAAUGCGAGUGUAGCGAAAUGCUUAAUGUAAUCCAACCAGGGUAGGUUACUGUCUAAAUGUAAUCCAACCAGGGUAGGUUACUGUCUAAAUGUAAUCCAUCCAGGGUAGGUUACUGUCUAAAUGUAACCCAUCCAGGGUUGGGUAGGUUACUGUCUAAAUGUAAUCCAACCAGGGUAGGUUACUGUCUAAAUGUAAUCCAUCCAGGGUUGGUUACUGUCUAAAUGUAAUCCAACCAGGUUAGGUUACUGUCUAAAUGUAAUCCAACCAGGGUUGGUUACUGUCUAAAUGUAAUCCAUCCAGGGUUGGUUACUGUCUAAAUGUAAUCCAUCCAGGGUUGGUCAC